This 406-nucleotide ribosomal RNA is filed under the name uncultured bacterium. RNAcentral describes it as "partial 16S ribosomal RNA". It matches the Rfam family "Bacterial small subunit ribosomal RNA", at positions 30 to 526 of the family's 1533-position model. The record is from RNAcentral.
AUUGAACGCUGGCGGCAGGCCUAACACAUGCAAGUCGAGCGAGCGGCGGACGGGUGAGUAAUGUAUGGGAAUCUGCCCGAUGGAGGGGGAUAACUACUGGAAACGGUAGCUAAUACCGCAUACUAUCGGAUGAACCCAGAUGGGAUUAGCUGGUAGGUGGGGUAAAGGCUCACCUAGGCGACGAUCUCUAGCUGGUCUGAGAGGAUGAUCAGCCACACUGGAACUGAGACACGGCCCAGACUCCUACGGGAGGCAGCAGUGGGGAAUAUUGGACAAUGGGCGAAAGCCUGAUGCAGCCAUGCCGCGUGUAUGAAGAAGGCCUUAGGGUUGUAAAGUACUUUCAGCGGGGAGGCGUUACCCGCAGAAGAAGCACCGGCUAACUCCGUGCCAGCAGCCGCGGUAAUUC